UAGUUAUAUGCUUGUUCUAAAGAUUAAGCCAUGCAUGUGUCGGAAUAUGUCUGUAUAGACGAAUCUGCAAACGGCUCAUUAUAACAGUGAUUGCAUAAUUGACUUUCUUAAACGGAUAACCGUGGGAAACUAAGGCUAAUACGAGCCAAUUUUGCCAGAUUUCAUUCUGUGCUGUAUUUCUUGUGUUAUAAGUCCAAGGCGCUCUGCGUGUUCGAUGAAACGCAGGAACUUUUCGAGUCGAAUAAUCGAUGCGUCAAAGUGGUUUCUGACCUAUCAGCUUUCGACGGUAGGGUAUUGGCCUACCGUGGCAAUGACGGGAAAAACGGGGAAUUAGGGUUUGAUUCCGGAGAGGGAGCCUGAGAAAUGGCUACCACGUCUAAGGAUGGCAGCAGGCGCGCAAAUUACCCAAUCCUGAAACAGGGAGGUAGUGACAGAAAAUAGCAACACAAAGCAUUUGCUUUUUGAUUGCAAUGUGGAUCUUCCAAAUUUUGCUUCGAGAAUCAAUU
This 506-nucleotide ribosomal RNA is filed under the name uncultured microeukaryote. RNAcentral's name for it is "bacterial SSU rRNA". It matches the Rfam family "Eukaryotic small subunit ribosomal RNA", at positions 21 to 549 of the family's 1831-position model. The record is from RNAcentral.